RNAcentral lists this microRNA precursor (109 nucleotides) under Glycine max (soybean). RNAcentral's name for it is "MIR4387 microRNA precursor family". It matches the Rfam family "MIR4387 microRNA precursor family". Lineage: Eukaryota; Viridiplantae; Streptophyta; Magnoliopsida; Fabales; Fabaceae. The record is from Rfam by way of RNAcentral.
GAGUGCCUCGUCGUCACGCCUUGUCACUCACACGUCAUUGUUAUGUGAUUGAAGGUGAUGACGUGACAAUGAUGUGUGAGUGAGAAGACGUGAUGACGUGGUAAUUCGU